This 550-nucleotide ribosomal RNA is filed under the name uncultured bacterium. RNAcentral's name for it is "bacterial SSU rRNA". It matches the Rfam family "Bacterial small subunit ribosomal RNA", at positions 355 to 896 of the family's 1533-position model. The record is from RNAcentral.
UAGGGAAUCUUCGGCAAUGGGGGCAACCCUGACCGAGCAACGCCGCGUGAGUGAAGAAGGUUUUCGGAUCGUAAAGCUCUGUUGUAAGUCAAGAACGAGUGUGAGAGUGGAAAGUUCACACUGUGACGGUAGCUUACCAGAAAGGGACGGCUAACUACGUGCCAGCAGCCGCGGUAAUACGUAGGUCCCGAGCGUUGUCCGGAUUUAUUGGGCGUAAAGCGAGCGCAGGCGGUUUGAUAAGUCUGAAGUUAAAGGCUGUGGCUCAACCAUAGUUCGCUUUGGAAACUGUCAAACUUGAGUGCAGAAGGGGAGAGUGGAAUUCCAUGUGUAGCGGUGAAAUGCAUAGAUAUAUGGAGGAACACCGGUGGCGAAAGCGGCUCUCUGGUCUGUAACUGACGCUGAGGCUCGAAAGCGUGGGGAGCGAACAGGAUUAGAUACCCUGGUAGUCCACGCCGUAAACGAUGAGUGCUAGGUGUUGGAUCCUUUCCGGGAUUCAGUGCCGCAGCUAACGCAUUAAGCACUCCGCCUGGGGAGUACGACCGCAAGGUUG